ACCAACAUCAGUGGCGCGCAUCCGGAGAACGAGAAGCUUCGCCGGCGUUAGUCUGUUGCACUGGGCGGCACUGCCGGCUGGUGGUGCCGCCCGACUUGCUCAGCAGCGGCUGCCAGACCGUUCGGUUCUGGCUGUGAUUGUAGAACCUUGUAGCUGUCGGGCGCGCCAACGAGGCCCUGCGCGGGGCGUUUUACAAG
RNAcentral lists this unclassified non-coding RNA (197 nucleotides) under plant metagenome. RNAcentral describes it as "partial contains 5.8S ribosomal RNA, internal transcribed spacer 2, and large subunit ribosomal RNA". The record is from RNAcentral.